CAGGCGGUUUGUUAAGUCAGAUGUGAAAUCCCCGGGCUCAACCUGCGGAACUGCAUUUGAAACUGGCAAGCUAGAGUCUCGUAGAGGGGGGUAGAAUUCCAGGUGUAGCGGUGAAAUGCGUAGAGAUCUGGAGGAAUACCGGUGGCGAAGGCGGCCCCCUGGACGAAGACUGACGCUCAGGUGCGAAAGCGUGGGGAGCAAACAGGAUUAGAUACCCUGGUAGUCCACGCUGUAAACGAUGUCGAUUUGGAGGUUGUGCCCUUGAGGCGUGGCUUCCGGAGCUAACGCGUUAAAUCGACCGCCUGGGGAGUACGGCCGCAAGGUUAAAACUCA
This 333-nucleotide ribosomal RNA is filed under the name uncultured bacterium. RNAcentral describes it as "bacterial SSU rRNA". It matches the Rfam family "Bacterial small subunit ribosomal RNA", at positions 572 to 903 of the family's 1533-position model. The record is from RNAcentral.